GAUGAAGAACGUAGCGAAAUGCGAUAAGUAAUGUGAAUUGCAGAAUUCAGUGAAUCAUCGAAUCUUUGAACGCACAUUGCGCCCCUUGGUAUUCCGGGGGGCAUGCCUGUUCGAGCGUCAUUUCAACCCUCAAGCUCUGCUUGGUAUUGGGCCUUCGCCGGGUGACCGGCGGGCCUUAAAGUCAGUGGCGGCGCCGUUGGGUCCUGAACGUAGUAACAUACCUCUCGUUACAGGGUCCCCGCGUGCUUCUGCCAUUAAACCCCAAACUUUCUAUGGUUGACCUCGGAUCAGGUAGGGAUACCCGCUGAACUUAAGCAUAUCCAAUAAGCGGAGGA
RNAcentral lists this unclassified non-coding RNA (335 nucleotides) under soil metagenome. RNAcentral describes it as "partial contains 5.8S ribosomal RNA, internal transcribed spacer 2, and large subunit ribosomal RNA". The stretch from base 1 to 120 matches the Rfam family "5.8S ribosomal RNA", at positions 35 to 154 of the family's 154-position model. The record is from RNAcentral.